This 536-nucleotide ribosomal RNA is filed under the name Trigonopterus sp. 726 AR-2022a. RNAcentral describes it as "partial large subunit ribosomal RNA". It matches the Rfam family "Bacterial large subunit ribosomal RNA", at positions 1884 to 2625 of the family's 2925-position model. The record is from RNAcentral. Lineage: Eukaryota; Metazoa; Arthropoda; Insecta; Coleoptera; Curculionidae.
GGCUUGUUGAUUAUAAUUUCAAGUUAAACCUGCCCACUGAGAGGUUAAAUGGCCGCGGUAUAUUGACCGUGCAAAGGUAGCAUAAUCAUUAGUUUUUUAAUUGAAAGCUUGUAUGAAGGGUUUGAUGAGAAAAUUUCUGUCUCUAGGAAAAUUUAUUAGAAUUUUAUUUUUAAGUUAAAAAGCUUAAAUUUAUAUUGAAGACGAUAAGACCCUAUAGAGUUUUAUAUUGAAAUUUUUACUGAGAUUUAGGAAUUUAUUGUUCAGUUCGGGUUUUUAUUAUUUUGUUGGGGUGACUGGAAAAUUAGAGUAACUUUUUUUUAAUUAAAAUAUUUAUUUGUAAAUUUAUGAUCCUUAAUUAAAGAUUAGAAGAUUGAAUUACCUUAGGGAUAACAGCGUAAUUUUUUAUAAAGUUCUUAUUGAAAAGAAAGAUUGCGACCUCGAUGUUGGAUUAAAAUUUAUUAUUGGUGUAGAAGCUAAUAAAUUAGGUCUGUUCGACCUUUAAAAUUUUACAUGAUCUGAGUUUAAACCGGUGUGAG